Molecule: ribosomal RNA, 452 nt
Filed under: uncultured bacterium
Lineage: Bacteria
Description: partial 16S ribosomal RNA
Rfam family: Bacterial small subunit ribosomal RNA
Source: RNAcentral
GGGCCAGACUCCUACGGGAGGCAGCAGUGGGGAAUAUUGGGCAAUGGGCGCAAGCCUGACCCAGCAACGCCGCGUGAAGGAAGAAGGCUUUCGGGUUGUAAACUUCUUUUAAGAGGGAAGAGCAGAAGACGGUACCUCUUGAAUAAGCCACGGCUAACUACGUGCCAGCAGCCGCGGUAAUACGUAGGUGGCAAGCGUUGUCCGGAUUUACUGGGUGUAAAGGGCGUGUAGCCGGGCUGACAAGUCAGAUGUGAAAUUCCGGGGCUCAACCCCGGACCUGCAUUUGAAACUGUUGGUCUUGAGUAUCGGAGAGGCAGGCGGAAUUCCUAGUGUAGCGGUGAAAUGCGUAGAGAUCGGGAGGAACACCAGUGGCGAAGGCGGCCUGCUGGGCUUUAACUGACGCUCAGGCACGAAAGCAUGGGGAGCAAACAGGAUUAGAUACCCUAGUAGAC